CCUACGGGAGGCAGCAGUGAGGAAUAUUGGUCAAUGGGCGCGAGCCUGAACCAGCCAAGUCGCGUGAAGGAUGACUGCCCUACGGGUUGUAAACUUCUUUUAUAAAGGAAUAAAGUGAGGCACGUGUGCCUUGUUGUAUGUACUUUAUGAAUAAAGAUCGGCUAACUCCCUGCCAACAGCCGCGGUAAUACGGAGGAUUCGAGCGUUUUCCGGAUUUAUUUGGUUUAAAGGGAGCGUAGAGGGGUUGUUAAGUCAGUUGGGAAAGUUUGAGGCUCAACCGUAAAAUGGCAAUUGAUACUGGCAGCCUUGAGUACAGGUGAGGUAGGCGGAAUUCGUGGUGUAGCGGUGAAAUGCUUAGAUAUCACGAAGAACUCCGAUUGCGAAGGCAGCCUACUAACCUGCCACUGACAUUGAUGCUCGAAAGUGUGGGUAUCAAACAGGAUUAGAUACCCGUGUAGUC
Molecule: ribosomal RNA, 460 nt
Filed under: uncultured bacterium
Lineage: Bacteria
Description: partial 16S ribosomal RNA
Rfam family: Bacterial small subunit ribosomal RNA
Source: RNAcentral